UUAGAUUAAGUUAUUAAGGGCGCACGGUGGAUGCCUUGGCACUAGAAGCCGACGAAGGACGUUACUAACGACGAUAUGCUUUGGGUAGCUGUAAGUAAGCGUUGAUCCAGAGAUUUCCGAAUGGGGGAACCCAGCACGAGUUAUGUCGUGUUAUCGACAAGUGAAUUCAUAGCUUGUCAGAAGGCAGACCCGGAGAACUGAAACAUCUUAGUACCCGGAGGAAGAGAAAGAAAAUUCGAUUCCCUGAGUAGCGGCGAGCGAAACGGGAAGAGCCCAAACCAAUAAGCUUGCUUAUUGGGGUUGUAGGACACUCUAUACGGAGUUACAAAGGAAUAUGUUAGACGAAUCAUCUGGAAAGUUGAAUCAAAGAAGGUAAUAAUCCUGUAGUUGAAAACGUAUUCUCUCUUGAGUGGAUCCUGAGUACGACGGAGCACGUGAAAUUCCGUCGGAAUCUGGGAGGACCAUCUCCUAAGGCUAAAUACUCUCUAGUGACCGAUAGUGAACCAGUACCGUGAGGGAAAGGUGAAAAGUACCCCGGAAGGGGAGUGAAAGAGAACUUGAAACCGUGUGCUUACAAGUAGUCAGAGCCCGUUAAUGGGUGAUGGCGUGCCUUUUGUAGAAUGAACCGGCGAGUUACGAUCUGAUGCAAGGUUAAGCAGGAAAUGUGGAGCCGUAGCGAAAGCGAGUCUGAAUAGGGCGUUUAGUAUUUGGUCGUAGACCCGAAACCAGGUGAUCUACCCAUGGUCAGGUUGAAGUUCAGGUAACACUGAAUGGAGGACCGAACCGACUUACGUUGAAAAGUGAGCGGAUGAACUGUGGGUAGCGGAGAAAUUCCAAUCGAACUUGGAGAUAGCUGGUUCUCUCCGAAAUAGCUUUAGGGCUAGCCUCAAGUGAUGAUUAUUGGAGGUAGAGCACUGUUUGGACGAGGGGCCCCUCUCGGGUUACCGAAUUCAGACAAACUCCGAAUGCCAAUUAAUUUAACUUGGGAGUCAGAACAUGGGUGAUAAGGUCCGUGUUCGAAAGGGAAACAGCCCAGACCACCAGCUAAGGUCCCAAAAUAUAUGUUAAGUGGAAAAGGAUGUGGCGUUGCCCAGACAACUAGGAUGUUGGCUUAGAAGCAGCCAUCAUUUAAAGAGUGCGUAAUAGCUCACUAGUCGAGUGACACUGCGCCGAAAAUGUACCGGGGCUAAACAUAUUACCGAAGCUGUGGAUUGUCCUUUGGACAAUGGUAGGAGAGCGUUCUAAGGGCGUUGAAGCAUGAUCGCAAGGACAUGUGGAGCGCUUAGAAGUGAGAAUGCCGGUGUGAGUAGCGAAAGACGGGUGAGAAUCCCGUCCACCGAUUGACUAAGGUUUCCAGAGGAAGGCUCGUCCGCUCUGGGUUAGUCGGGUCCUAAGCUGAGGCCGACAGGCGUAGGCGAUGGAUAACAGGUUGAUAUUCCUGUACCACCUAACAUCGUUUUAAUCGAUGGGGGG
Molecule: ribosomal RNA, 1473 nt
Rfam family: Bacterial large subunit ribosomal RNA